RNAcentral lists this ribosomal RNA (777 nucleotides) under uncultured Neocallimastigales. RNAcentral's name for it is "partial large subunit ribosomal RNA". It matches the Rfam family "Eukaryotic large subunit ribosomal RNA", at positions 24 to 644 of the family's 3401-position model. Lineage: Eukaryota; Fungi; Neocallimastigomycota; Neocallimastigomycetes; Neocallimastigales. The record is from RNAcentral.
UAUCUCUGUAGAGUCUGCAUAUCAAUAAGCGGAGGAAAAGAAACUAACAAGGAUUCCCUUAGUAACGGCGGGUGAAGCGGGAAGAGCUCAAAUUUGAAAUCUUCAAGGUUCUACCUUGACGAAUUGUAGUUUAAAGAAGUGUUUUCUGUUAGAUGAGUAGCAAAAGUUCCUUGGAAUGGGACAUCAUAGAGGGUGAGAAUCCCGUAUUUGGUUAUUCAUUCUAGCUUUGUGAUACACUUUCAAAGAGUCGGAUUGUUUGGGAAUGCAGUCCAAAAUGGGUGGUAAAUUUCAUCUAAAGCUAAAUAUUGGCGAGAGACCGAUAGCGAACAAGUACCGUGAGGGAAAGAUGAAAAGAACUUUGAAAAGAGAGUUAAACAGUACGUGAAAUUGUCAAGAGGGAAGCGUUUGACACCAGUGUUGUUUUUUCCGAAAAUCAAUUACGAAUGGCUUGAUUUUGUGUUGUAUUGACCUUAUCAGCUUUCUUCACUUUUUUCGAGUCUUUCUUAAUGCACUUUUCGGUUAACAAGUCAACAUCAAUUUCUUUUGUUGUAAAAGAGUAUUCGGAAGGUGGCUUUCUUUUCGGAGAAAGUGUUUAUAGCCCUAUACUUCUACAAUCGGAGAGAUUGAGGUCUGCAGCGUAGAUCCUUCGGGGUUAGAUACACUUUGUGCUAAGUUGUAGCUUUUCAUAGACAACUUGUUGACUAUGUUUAGUCAUGCGGCUUACUCGCUUAGUGCUAUUUUACCUACGCUUAGGAUGUUGACUGAUAUGUAGUCGUA